AGGAGAUGAGAACAGGCGCGCGAUUGGCUUCGUCGCUGCCCCACCGCACUGGUUGUUUCUUUCGUCCAGAAGAAAGAGAGAGGAAGGAGGUCGCCAGAUACGCCCGCCCCGCUCCAACCCUCUUCUCCUCCUCACGUACGACACCUCCUUUCUCCUCCCUCUCCCCUUCUCUCUCAGACCCACUGGCGGCGGAGACUGGAGGCAGAACACUGCACGCGCCGGCCGGCGAGGAGGAGCUGCGCUGUCGCCGGCGCACCAACUGCGUCUACUGCCUCGCCUCCCCGUUGACCUACAAGAAGGUAUAUUCCCACAUUGAACUGAAUUAUUGCUAUAUUCGGUUGAUUCAGACAUAUUGUAUCUUCAAUGGCUUUCACUGCUGGGCAAAAUCAAGCGAUGGAAGAUCCAUGGUACAUUGUGGUGUUAUCUGCUACUGAUUUACAGGCCUUGUGGUUGUCGUUCCCAUGGCUGUACCGUUCACGUUUAUGCAGGGUUUAAAGUUUGAUGUAGGAUGGGCACACAAGUUUGAUGUUUGCAGUUACAGAUUUUUGUCAAAGCCCGCUGAAACGAAGUUUAGUUCAGCAGACCAUGUAUGUUGGAAGAAAGCAAAUUUCUUGCCUUCUGAAUCCUCCGUAGCCAUAAUAUUUUAUUUCAGACCGAAUUGUCCCAGCUCAGUGUAUCUCAGCGAAGUAGCGGGUUCAUGCAAGGCCUGGCCGACGGCAACGACUUUAGGGGCUGUCGUGCUUUGCAUACUUCAUCUAGGUAAAUUGUGCUAGCUUUCAGAUUAUUCAUUUUCGUUUUACCCUGUCAAAGAUCUUCUCAGAUUAGUUAACCAAGCUAUGUAAUGAUGGUGUUGUGAUUCCGGGGGCUCUGUUGGAGGAUCAGCUUUGGUUCAGAGGCAGGUUUUGGGCAUACCGCAGCACAAGCAGAGGCAUAUCUCAGUCGAUGCUACUGCAGUUGAUGAUGCCCUGAAGCUUUCUUCAGUAACUGAUUCAGCGUGCCGCUGUUCUCUAAGGUCGUUGAGUGCUGAGAACAGGCAAUAUAAUUAGGCUUUUAACGAGAAGAUGGAGGAGAUAAAAACUUUCAGGAAGUGUUUAGGCGAGUUCCAUGCCCAAAAUAAUGUUAUGUGAGCAGAGAGUGCAGGCUUGUGCUCUUCUGUUGAAGAGCUUGAGCAUGAGAGAUUGAAUCAACACAUAAGUCAUGAGAGCAUAUAUUUAGACGAGGAGAGGUGACUGGUCAAAGAAAUUAAGACCCUUGAAAAAACCAGACCGAGGGUCAGUUCCAAUGUUGCUAAGCAAGCUAAAAUGGAAGAUAUAGUGGCUGAGAGAGAUGCCAUACAUGAUCAGGUGAAAAUCAUCAUACAUGGAGUAAAGGAGGGAGAAGCAGCCAUGUCUAAGAUUAAGGUCCUGGACGAUGAGGCGAUGGGCGUGGAGAGCUGCUACAAGCUCGCGCAGGCGGCAUACGUCAACCUCGCGCUGCACACACUCAAGCACCUGGCGCCCGUCGUCAAUGGGCUCCUCGUCCAUGAUUAGCUGGACAACAUGAACCUCGAGGAGGUUGUGAAGGGGAACAUCUGUGACGCCGUUCUUUAGAUAAUAAUAAUGGUGCAAUACUGCAUAGGAGGAAGUUGUUUGGGCCUUUUACUGAUGGAUAUAUUUCUUACUUUUGAUCCUCAUCAAUAAUCUCCAGGUCUUUGGGAGUUUGCUAGCAGUCCUGGUCAGACUUGGACCAGGGACUAGCGUCCUGGAUGCCUUGGCAUGCUCGGCUCCACCGGUGUUGCAAGCCAGGAUCAUCAAGCUUCCCGUGUACAUCUACCACCCAAGUCAUGUGAACGAGCCGAUGAAGAUACUCAACAUUAUUUGCUUCAGCUACUUCCUUCGUAACUACAAGGUACAUGCAAAAAUUAAACCCUGCACAAGCGUACUUUGUUUAGUGAUGUAGUGGCUAGCAUUAUAACAUGUAAUUUAUGUUGAGAAUCAAUUUUUAAGAGAAGUUGCUGCAGUAGAGAUAGCAUUAGGCAGUUAAAUACAAAACAAGUGCAAGUAGUUCAGCUUAAACAACUAGAAUGUGGGGGGUCUCAAAAUUUUCCUUGAGAAAAAUCUUGAUGACGAAUGAAAGCAAGACCAACCUCUGCCAACAUCUUUUCCCUCAGAAGAUUGACAACCAACUAAUAUACUGAUGACAUAUUUAAAUCAACAAAUUCUCUCCGUGUGCAAUCAUUUCAUGCAUUUGAUUUCCCAUAUGUUGUUCACUCUAUUUAAGCUACUUAGUUACAAUUCUAUGUUUCAAGCUGUGUUCGGCAACCCUCUACUCCUUCGCUAGGGAGCGGAGCUCACGGAGCACCCUGUUAGCAGCUCACCAAAAUAUAACUGCAUGCCGCUCCGCUCCGCAGCGGAGUUGCAGAGCAGAGAGAUCCCGAACAGCUCCUUAGUUUCAGUUUAUUGUCAUUUGUUAUGUUACGUUCGGCGGACGAAGAAAUGCCAGCUGGCGUGCCUGGCGACCACUCUACCUAGAUCGGAGCACGACAAGGUCGCUUGUCGCCCAACACCUCCUCCAGUCGAGAUCCGCUGCCACCAACCUCGUGUAGGGAGCUCUUUUUAUCUUCCUUUGUAUCUCUAUGGAGCAGAAGGUUUAAAUUUACCAAUGUAUGGCUCUUGUUUAUGUUCCCUAUACAUGAAUGUUCAUAAGCAAGACAGGUGCACACGUAUAAACACUCAAGAGGUGCACCACUGAAGGACGCAAGGCAUGCCGCUCCCAAACCUGGCUUUGUGUAUUACCUAGAUGGAUUAGUGUGCGCGGGCAGUAGAGAAGCUCGGCUCCGUCCUCAGGAGAGGCAAAGAUACUUAAGAUGGAGGCCUGCUCGUGGAUGCUCCACUGGUUUACUGCAGUUUCAAGGGCUUAGGGAGCGCCUCCUUGUUGACAACCUCUUCCUUGCCAAGCUUGUCAUGGAGUGCGUCGUCGAGCCAUCAGCAAUGUCUGUUUUAUUUUGAGAAGCCGUCAUUCACCGGAUUUAGAUAGAUCAUCCGCGACUGCCACUGCCGCCUGUCGGAGCUGUUAACUCAGCUUUACCCUAUUUUGAACUGCGGCUCCACUUUUGGACAGAAUGUACGAUUAUGUAUGCCAGUAUCAAAAACUGUGUCCCCUUCA
This is an RNA transcript of Triticum aestivum (bread wheat), 3144 nucleotides long. RefSeq lists it as uncharacterized. The record is from RefSeq and is a predicted model, not a curated record. Lineage: Eukaryota; Viridiplantae; Streptophyta; Magnoliopsida; Poales; Poaceae. The transcript has 10 exons.